RNAcentral lists this ribosomal RNA (571 nucleotides) under Mycena galopus. RNAcentral describes it as "eukaryotic LSU rRNA". The stretch from base 80 to 235 matches the Rfam family "5.8S ribosomal RNA". Lineage: Eukaryota; Fungi; Basidiomycota; Agaricomycetes; Agaricales; Mycenaceae. The record is from RNAcentral.
CAAGAUCAUGUUUUCAUAUACACUAUAAAGUUACAGAAUGUCUUUUAACGAUUGCGCAAGCAGUCCAUUAAACCUAUACAACUUUCAGCAACGGAUCUCUUGGCUCUCCCUAUCCGAUGAAGAACGCAGCGAAAUGCGAUAAGUAAUGUGAAUUGCAGAAUUCAGUGAAUCAUCGAAUCUUUGAACGCACCUUGCGCCCUUUGGUAUUCCGAAGGGCAUGCCUGUUUGAGUGUCAUUAAAUUAUCAACCUUGCUCGCUUUUACUAGCUUGAGUUUGGCUUGGAUGUGAGGGCUUUGCUGGCUUCCUUCAGUGGAUGGUCUGCUCCCUUUAAAUGCAUUAGUGGGAUCUCUUGUGGACCGUCACUUGGUGUGAUAAUUAUCUAUGCCUUGAGACUUUGAAGCAAACUAAUGGGAACCUGCUUAUAACCGUCUUCGGACAAUCUCUGACAUUUUGACCUCAAAUCAGGUAGGACUACCCGCUGAACUUAAGCAUAUCAAUAAGCGGAGGAAAAGAAACUAACAAGGAUUCCCCUAGUAACUGCGAGUGAAGCGGGAAAAGCUCAAAUUUAAAA